Molecule: transfer RNA, 83 nt
Filed under: Candidatus Omnitrophica bacterium CG12_big_fil_rev_8_21_14_0_65_50_5
Lineage: Bacteria; Pseudomonadati; Candidatus Omnitrophota
Description: tRNA-Tyr
Rfam family: tRNA
About the family: Transfer RNA (tRNA) molecules are approximately 80 nucleotides in length. Their secondary structure includes four short double-helical elements and three loops (D, anti-codon, and T loops).
Source: RNAcentral
GGGCAGAUAUCCAAGUGGUUAAAGGAGACAGACUGUAAAUCUGUUACGCUUGCGUUUCGAAGGUUCGAAUCCUUCUCUGCCCA